This is a non-coding RNA of Populus tomentosa, 81 nucleotides long. Lineage: Eukaryota; Viridiplantae; Streptophyta; Magnoliopsida; Malpighiales; Salicaceae. The record is from the annotation of a GenBank genome assembly.
GUCUUGGUGAUGAAAUGGUUAACAUCUAAGACUCCAAAUCUCAUGUUAAAAAGCGUGAAGGUUUGAGUCCUCAUCAAGGCA